Long non-coding RNA from Helicoverpa armigera (cotton bollworm), 2659 nucleotides. RefSeq lists it as uncharacterized. The record is from RefSeq and is a predicted model, not a curated record. The transcript has 4 exons. Lineage: Eukaryota; Metazoa; Arthropoda; Insecta; Lepidoptera; Noctuidae.
AAGGAGACCCGAGAAAAAAACCGAUUCAAAUGUUCUCCUCAGAUAGUCACUUAACAAAGUCUUUGGCAUUUGCCCAGUACUGGGAGUGGUCAAAGUAGGUUCUUUACUUCACUCUUAACAUGAAAUCAAAAUAUUUUUGAAAUCAGUCCUUGGGGUCCGGAGAAAACCCGGUUCUAAUAUUCCACAUGAACAGUCGCUUUACAAAGCCUGACUUAUUUGCCCAGUACUGGGAGUGGUCAAAGUAGGUUCUUUACUUCACUCUUAACAUGAAAUCAAAAUAUUUUUGAAAUCAGUCCUUGGGGGCCGGAGAAAACCCGGUUCUAAUAUUCCACAUGAACAGUCGCUUUACAAAGCCUGACUUAUUUGCCCAGGAGUGGGAGUGAUUGAAGUAGGUUCCUUACUUCACUUUUAACAUGAAAUUAAAAUAUUUUUGAAAUCGGUCAAAGGAGACCCGAGGAAAACCGGUUUAAAUGUUCUCCUUAGAUAGUCACUUAACAAAGUCUUUGGCAUUUGCCCAGUAGUGGGAGUGGUCAAAAUAGGUUCCUUACUUCACUUUUAACAUGAAAUUAAAAUAUUUUUGAAAUCGGUCAAAGGAGACCCGAGAAAAAAAACCGAUUCAAAUGUUCUCCUCAGAUAGUCACUUAACAAAGUCUUUGGCAUUUGCCCAGUAGUGGGAGUGGUCAAAAUAGGUUCUUUACUUCACUCUUAACAUGAAAUCCAAAUAUUUUUGAAAUCGGUCCCUGGGGUCCGGAGAAAAACCGGUUCUAAUAUUCCACAUGAACAGUCGCUUUACAAAGCCUGUCUUAUUUGCCCAGUAUUGGGAGUGAUUGGAAUAGGUUCCUUACUUCACUUUUAACAUGAAAUUAAAAUAUUUUUGAAAUCGGUCAAAGGAGACCCGAGAAAAAAACCGAUUCAAAUGUUCUCCUCAGAUAGUCACUUAACAAAGUCUUUGGCAUUUGCCCAGUAGUGGGAGUGGUCAAAGUAGGUUCUUUACUUCACUCUUAACAUGAAAUCAAAAUAUUUUUGAAAUCAGUCCUUGGGGUCCGGAGAAAACCCGGUUCUAAUAUUCCACAUGAACAGUCGCUUUACAAAGCCUGACUUAUUUGCCCAGGAGUGGGAGUGAUUGAAAUAGGUUCCUUAAUUCACUUUUAACAUGAAAUUAAAAUAUUUUUGAAAUCGGUCAAAGGAGACCCGAGAAAAAAACCGAUUCAAAUGUUCUCCUCAGAUAGUCACUUAACAAAGUCUUUGGCAUUUGCCCAGUAGUGGGAGUGGUCAAAGUAGGUUCUUUACUUCACUCUUAACAUGAAAUCAAAAUAUUUUUGAAAUCAGUCCUUGGGGUCCGGAGAAAACCCGGUUCUAAUAUUCCACAUGAACAGUCGCUUUACAAAGCCUGACUUAUUUGCCCAGGAGUGGGAGUGAUUGAAGUAGGUUCCUUACUUCACUUUUAACAUGAAAUUAAAAUAUUUUUAAAACGGUCAAAGGAGACCCGAGAAAAAAACCGAUUCAAAUGUUCUCCUCAGAUAGUCACUUAACAAAGUCUUUGGCAUUUGCCCAGUACUGGGAGUGGUCAAAGUAGGUUCUUUACUUCACUCUUAACAUGAAAUCAAAAUAUUUUUGAAAUCAGUCCUUGGGGUCCGGAGAAAACCCGGUUCUAAUAUUCCACAUGAACAGUCGCUUUACAAAGCCUGACUUAUUUGCCCAGGAGUGGGAGUGAUUGAAGUAGGUUCCUUACUUCACUUUUAACAUGAAAUUAAAAUAUUUUUGAAAUCGGUCAAAGGAGACCCGAGAAAAAAACCGAUUCAAAUGUUCUCCUCAGAUAGUCACUUAACAAAGUCUUUGGCAUUUGCCCAGUACUGGGAGUGGUCAAAGUAGGUUCUUUACUUCACUCUUAACAUGAAAUCAAAAUAUUUUUGAAAUCAGUCCUUGGGGGCCGGAGAAAACCCGGUUCUAAUAUUCCACAUGAACAGUCGCUUUACAAAGCCUGACUUAUUUGCCCAGGAGUGGGAGUGAUUGAAGUAGGUUCCUUACUUCACUUUUAACAUGAAAUUAAAAUAUUUUUGAAAUCGGUCAAAGGAGACCCGAGGAAAACCGGUUUAAAUGUUCUCCUUAGAUAGUCACUUAACAAAGUCUUUGGCAUUUGCCCAGUAGUGGGAGUGGUCAAAAUAGGUUCCUUACUUCACUUUUAACAUGAAAUUAAAAUAUUUUUGAAAUCGGUCAAAGGAGACCCGAGAAAAAAAACCGAUUCAAAUGUUCUCCUCAGAUAGUCACUUAACAAAGUCUUUGGCAUUUGCCCAGUAGUGGGAGUGGUCAAAAUAGGUUCUUUACUUCACUCUUAACAUGAAAUCCAAAUAUUUUUGAAAUCGGUCCCUGGGGUCCGGAGAAAAACCGGUUCUAAUAUUCCACAUGAACAGUCGCUUUACAAAGCCUGUCUUAUUUGCCCAGUAUUGGGAGUGAUUGGAAUAGGUUCCUUACUUCACUUUUAACAUGAAAUUAAAAUAUUUUUGAAAUCGGUCAAAGGAGACCCGAGAAAAAAACCGAUUCAAAUGUUCUCCUCAGAUAGUCACUUAACAAAGUCUUUGGCAUUUGCCCAGUAGUGGGAGUGGUCAAAGUAGGUUCUUUACUUCACUCUUAACAUGAAAUCAAAAUAUUUUUGAAAUCA